This 439-nucleotide ribosomal RNA is filed under the name uncultured bacterium. Its description in RNAcentral is "partial 16S ribosomal RNA". It matches the Rfam family "Bacterial small subunit ribosomal RNA", at positions 339 to 795 of the family's 1533-position model. The record is from RNAcentral.
CUACGGGUGGCAGCAGUGGGGGAUAUUGCACAAUGGGGGAAACCCUGAUGCAGCAACGCCGCGUGAGUGAAGAAGUAUUUCGGUAUGUAAAGCUCUAUCAGCAGGGAAGAGAAUGACGGUACCUGACUAAGAAGCCCCGGCUAACUACGUGCCAGCAGCCGCGGUAAUACGUAGGGGGCGAGCGUUAUCCGGAUUUACUGGGUGUAAAGGGAGCGUAGACGGCUGGUCAAGUCUGAAGUGAAAGCCCGGGGCUUAACCCCGGAACGGCUUUGGAAACUGAGCAGCUAGAGUGCUGGAGAGGUAAGCGGAAUUCCUAGUGUAGCGGUGAAAUGCGUAGAUAUCACGAGGAACCCCGAUUGCGAAGACAGCCUGCCGGGGUGCGACUGACGCUGAGGCUCGAAGGUGCGGGUAUCAAACAGGAUUAGAUACCCUGGUAGUC